UACGGAGGGUGCAAGCGUUAUCCGGAUUCACUGGGUUUAAAGGGUGCGUAGGUGGGAAUGUAAGUCAGUGGUGAAAUCUCCGUGCUUAACAUGGAAACUGCCAUUGAUACUAUGUUUCUUGAAUCUUCCGGAGGUCAGCGGAAUAUGUCAUGUAGCGGUGAAAUGCUUAGAUAUGACAUAGAACACCAAGUGCGAAGGCAGCUGACUACAGGGGCAUUGACACUGAGGCACGAAAGCGUGGGGAUCAAACAGG
Molecule: ribosomal RNA, 253 nt
Filed under: uncultured bacterium
Lineage: Bacteria
Description: partial 16S ribosomal RNA
Rfam family: Bacterial small subunit ribosomal RNA
Source: RNAcentral